CCUACGGGGGGCAGCAGUGGGGAAUAUUGGACAAUGGGGGGAACCCUGAUCCAGCCAUGCCGCGUGUGUGAAGAAGGCCCUCGGGUUGUAAAGCACUUUCAGUGAGGAAGAACGCCUGGUGGUUAAUACCCAUCAGGAAAGACAUCACUCACAGAAGAAGCACCGGCUAACUCCGUGCCAGCAGCCGCGGUAAUACGGAGGGUGCGAGCGUUAAUCGGAAUUACUGGGCGUAAAGCGCGCGUAGGUGGCUUGAUAAGCCGGUUGUGAAAGCCCCGGGCUCAACCUGGGAACGGCAUCCGGAACUGUCAAGCUAGAGUGCAGGAGAGGAAGGUAGAAUUCCCGGUGUAGCGGUGAAAUGCGUAGAGAUCGGGCGGAAUACCAGUGGCGAAGGCGGCCUUCUGGACUGACACUGACACUGAGGUGCGAAAGCGUGGGUAGCAAACAGGAUUAGAUACCCUAGUAGUC
RNAcentral lists this ribosomal RNA (465 nucleotides) under Vreelandella stevensii. Its description in RNAcentral is "partial 16S ribosomal RNA". It matches the Rfam family "Bacterial small subunit ribosomal RNA", at positions 338 to 795 of the family's 1533-position model. Lineage: Bacteria; Pseudomonadati; Pseudomonadota; Gammaproteobacteria; Oceanospirillales; Halomonadaceae. The record is from RNAcentral.